UCCCCAAUGAAAAAUAAUGGGAGUAAUGUGGAUGUCGUGGUGGCGCAGAGAAAUAGCGGACUGAGAGAUAUGGAUAGGAUUGGAGCUGGACUGGACCAGACCCCUAUCCGAGCCUGGUCCAAAAUAAUUUUUCAGGCUUUGAGCUGGGCUUAGGCCUGAUUUUUUUGAAAAAACAUCGGCCUAAGCUCAGAUUUGAGCCCGACCUGAGCCCAAUUGGACUAACCCAACGCCCUCAUU
Molecule: long non-coding RNA, 237 nt
Filed under: Elaeis guineensis (African oil palm)
Lineage: Eukaryota; Viridiplantae; Streptophyta; Magnoliopsida; Arecales; Arecaceae
Description: long non-coding RNA (EGUI_LNC004154)
Source: RNAcentral